CGUGUAGGCGGUCAAGUAAGUGGAAUGUGAAACGCCUCGGCUUACCCGAGGACCUGCAUCCCAAACUGCUUGGCUUGAGUAUGGGAGAGGAUGAGGGAAUUCCUGGUGUAGCGGUGAAAUGCGUAGAUAUCAGGAGGAACACCGGUGGCGAAAGCGCUCAUCUGGCCCAAUACUGACGCUGAGGCGCAAAGCUAGGGAGCAAACG
Molecule: ribosomal RNA, 205 nt
Filed under: uncultured bacterium
Lineage: Bacteria
Description: partial 16S ribosomal RNA
Rfam family: Bacterial small subunit ribosomal RNA
Source: RNAcentral